Molecule: ribosomal RNA, 460 nt
Filed under: uncultured bacterium
Lineage: Bacteria
Description: partial 16S ribosomal RNA
Rfam family: Bacterial small subunit ribosomal RNA
Source: RNAcentral
CCUACGGGAGGCAGCAGUGAGGAAUAUUGGGCAAUGGACGGAAGUCUGAACCAGCCAUGCCGCGUGCAGGAAGACGGCUCUAUGAGUUGUAAACUGCUUUUGUACAAGGGUAAACCUGAAUACGUGUAUUCAGCUGAAAGUACUGUACGAAUAAGGAACGGCUAACCCCGUGCCAGCAGCCGCGGUAAUACGGAGGAUCCAAGCGUUAUCCGGAUUGACUGGGCUUAAAGGGUGCGUAGGCGGAUUGAUAAGUUAGAGGUGAAAUGACCGAGCUUAACUCGGGAACUGCCUCUAAUACUGGUGAACUAGAGAGUAGGUGCGGUAGGCGGAAUGUAUGGUGUAGCGGUGAAAUGCUUAGAGAUCAUACAGAACACCGAUUGCGAAGGCAGCUUACCGGUCUAUAUCUGACGUUGAGGCACGAAAGCGUGGGGAGCAAACAGGAUUAGAUACCCGGGUAGUC